This 464-nucleotide ribosomal RNA is filed under the name Vreelandella stevensii. RNAcentral's name for it is "partial 16S ribosomal RNA". It matches the Rfam family "Bacterial small subunit ribosomal RNA", at positions 338 to 794 of the family's 1533-position model. The record is from RNAcentral. Lineage: Bacteria; Pseudomonadati; Pseudomonadota; Gammaproteobacteria; Oceanospirillales; Halomonadaceae.
CCUACGGGAGGCAGCAGUGGGGAAUAUUGGACAAUGGGCGAAAGCCUGAUCCAGCCAUGCCGCGUGUGUGAAGAAGGCCUUCGGGUUGUAAAGCACUUUCAGUGGGGAAGAAAGCCUUGGGGCUAAUACCCUCGAGGAAGGACAUCACCCACAGAAGAAGCACCGACUAACUCCGUGCCAGCAGCCGCGGUAAUACGGAGGGUGCGAGCGUUAAUCGGAAUUACUGGGCGUAAAGCGCGCGUAGGCGGUCUGAUAAGCCGGUUGUGAAAGCCCCGGGCUCAACCUGGGAACGGCAUCCGGAACUGUCAGGCUAGAGUGCAGGAGAGGAAGGUAGAAUUCCCGGUGUAGCGGUGAAAUGCGUAGAGAUCGGGAGGAAUACCAGUGGCGAAGGCGGCCUUCUGGACUGACACUGACGCUGAGGUGCGAAAGCGUGGGUAGCAAACAGGAUUAGAUACCCGAGUAGU